Phoenix dactylifera (date palm) is the source of this 5911-nucleotide non-coding RNA. Lineage: Eukaryota; Viridiplantae; Streptophyta; Magnoliopsida; Arecales; Arecaceae. The record is from RefSeq and is a predicted model, not a curated record.
GCCUGGCGUACCGCAUACCGUACGUACCGACACUCGGUACGCCAUACUAGUGCAGCACCGGUACGGGGGUUCGGUACCGGUGCGGCGAACCUUGCCCGCAGAACUUUAUAUUGUUGAAAAUUUUGAAAUUCGGCACCUCUUCUUAUCAUCUUUAUGCUGUACAUUUGCAUAGUGACAGUGUUUCUGAUGUUUUUUUUGGGGCAGCUUAUCCAAGGAUAUGUAUGAUGAAAAUGAAGAUAUAUCAUACUCCUGGGUUAGAGAGUAUCAUUGGGAUGUAGAGGUGAUGAUGCUGAUGACCCCACAACAUACCUCGUUAAUUUUGACGACGAAUCUGCACGAAUUUGGUAAUAUUAGUUUUCUUCAUUAUCUUAGUGGGGGUUGAUGUGGUGGUCUUGAUUCAUAAUAAUUCUUGUUUUGCAGCUCUACCCACAAAGCUUGUUUUACAGAAGAAGAGGGCAAAAGAGGGAAGGUUUGGAGAUGAGAUCGAGCAUUUUCCUGGUGGCCUGCAAGGGUCACUGUGAGGGGGAGGUCAGCUGUUUGCUGUUGGAGAAUUGAAGGAAUCUGGAGAAACAUCUGUGAAAAAAAGAUCAAGUGGAUAUCAUGAGUUUAAAGCGGGGAAGGUUUUCAAGGGAUGAUGACUUUGAAAGACAGAAUAAACUUGCACGAGUGGAUGACAUGGAUCAGUUCAGCGGGGAGGAAGACAUGUAUGAUUAGUUGCUACCAAUGUGGCAACCACCUCAUCUAAAGAAUAUUUAUCUGUCAGAGAUGUAUAGUACUGGGCUAUUGCUAAUCCAGGCAGAGAUGGUGAAGCACAAGGUGAAGCACAUCGACCACCAUGGAUGUUAAAUGCAGAAGUCGAAAAAGGCGAGGUGGUGGUGUUCUCCAUUUGUUUGCUCCAAUCAAGGCAUGUGCUUACAAGUGAUGGUUGCCUUUUGUGGUCAUAAAUGAAACUUGUUUUCAAAUCUUGCAGGCAUAUACAAUUGUAACAUUACAUGAGUUAUUCAUAAAUAGAUGUCCUAUUCUGUUUUUUCCCCUUGGUUUCAUGUAAAUGCAGUGAACUUUUAGAGCCUCUUGUUAUAGUUUUAGACAAGGUCUGCUGUGCCGAAACCGGGGCCCGGACUGAUUGCUCAGUGGCACGGGUUGGUUCGCCCCCGUAUCAUUCCAUGCUGGGCCCGUAUCUACAUAGUAGAGGAGGAGGAGGAGGGUGAAUGGGAGAGAGGAAAAGAGAGAGAGAAGGAAGAGAGAGUGAGGGAGAGAGGAGGAUGGCGGAGGCUAGCAAGCCGCGCGAGGAGGCGAAGAAGGGUCUCCGCCUCCGGGUCCCCUGUUUUGUUUGAAACGAGGGCCUCGGAGGGGCUCCUUUUUAAUCUUGCGAUUUUUAAGUGAAGUUUGCCUCAUCCGCAUGGCUCGCUAGCCUCCGCGGCCCUGUCUCUUCCUUCCUCUCCUUCUCCCUCCCUCUCCCGCUCUCUCUUCCUCUCUUUCCUUCUCCCCCUUCGUCGACAAUUUUUCAUUUCAGUUACCGGAACCGUAUCGGUCCACCGCCAGUACGGCUCGAUACUAUCCAAACUGUCCAGUUCGGGACGUUCCGUCGACCAUGGUUUUAUAUGUCAUUUCUUAAUCACCUGCCGAUUCUUGCAACAAAGAUAAUCUGAUUUCAAAUUUUACUGAAUUAUGUACCUUUAAUGAGUAAGGUUUACUAGUUUGAACGUUUCUUAAAGUACAAAGCAAUAAAUUUGCGUUUUUUAAGAAAAAAUAGAUAAUGUAAUGGAGUGUUAUUGGAAAAUAAAUUUAUUUGUCUCGGAUAGUGAAGCAUAGUUGUUUAGUUGUUUGACUUCACCAAGGGAUAGUAAGGACUAUCAAAUGUGUAGAAACCUGAAAACAAUGAUUCUGUUACAUGCAUAUUAUAUGUAUAUUUUUUUGUAACAAUUGUUAGUUAAUGCUUCAUCAUUUUUCUUUUCAGGCUUUUUAAUUAAUGCUAGCAAUUCAUGGCUUCUGAUACUUUCUAAAUUAGCUGGCCGGAUGAGUGAAACAAUUAUAUAGGGGAAUUUUUCAUGACCCUACCGAGUAUUAGAGUUUUAGUUGAGAGAAUCCUUUGAUUAUAUUUCACUCUCCCUUUCUUAACUUCCCAGUUUUGCAGCCCCUUCAGCUUGCAAUUGUGCAGGGCGGCAUUUCAUGCACUUACUUGCCUGACAGAUGCAUGGUAAAAAGGUACUGCUCUGUAUGAUGCCUUCUAACAGAAACAACUUGCAAUGACACAUGUUAAGCAAGCAACUAGAUAUGCAUUAAAGAAGGUCAGACCCCAUAAGCACUACUAUGCUACUAAGUUAUUUUGUGAUGUUUUAUCGUUUUGACCUUUUAUUGUCUUGUGGUAGAAAACUAAGCAGGAGUGUCACCUCUGCUGGACAUACAUCACAUAUCAUUUUUUUUAUAAACAAAUGAUACUUUAUGUAUUAUACUGCAUUUAUUUCAAUUAAGGUCCAGAAGCACUACAGAAAAAGCCAAAAACAUUUCUUGAAGGAGCACCAUUUGUUGCAGUGCCUGGCUGAAUGUUUUUGGUCUUAAGUGUAAUUCUUUCUAAGGCCCACAGCUGGAAACUUUUUUUUUUUAAAUCUACCAGGCACAUGAUUGGUGUUAAGGUUAACUUAUGUGGUCCUAACUUUCUCAGCAUCAAAUCAAAUUAGUGCCCUCAACUUUAUCCAUUGUAUAUGAUGACUUGUUAUCUGUUGUUUCUUUUUCUAUUCUUUUUGUUUGAGUACAAAAGUAAUCACUUAUUUCAACAACUAAAAUGCUUUAUAUUCUGUAACAUUAGAUGCUGUAGUGUUGUGUUUGUUUUUCUCAAACUAACUAGUGUGUUGAAUUAUGUAACCUUAGGUGCAGGUAACUCUUGUUUGUCGUGGAUUAAAAUGGCAUCAGAUUUGAUAACCAGAUUCACGAAGGAGAGAACUAUUCUUUGCAAAUCAGGGUUGAGUAAAAAGAAAGGGGAAAAUGUUGAAUCAAGUCCAUGAUCAAUGAAUAGGUAAAUCCUUAAAAAGAGAACUAGGAAGCAAAUUGAAGUUUCAUUAGUUUUUGUUUUCUUGGGGAAUGAUCUGAAUGUUACAUAAAUUGAAGAGAAUCUGAAACCUAAUUCAAACUUCUGAUUUAACUUGCCUAAUCAUAACCUUUGAACUGAUUUUAAAGAAAGCUAAUAAAGGCAGCUGUGCCCCUGAUUCUGUAGAACACUUCAACAUUGUCAGAACUUGGUCCUAACAUAAUUGUUUGGUGCUUAUAACACAUCUAAAGAGGCAUUUACUUCAGAAAUUUGAAAAUACAUAUAACAUUUGCUAAGGUGAUUGCUUAGGUGUCAAAAGCAGUAUUUGCCUGAUGAAUGGAGGAACUCGACAUCAAUUUCAUUUGAAGAAGGUAGAUGCAACGUCUAUGUAUCUCCUGCAGAAUCAAACUAAUGAACCACAAUGUGAAACUUUAGGAUAGCAUAGUGGGAAGGUGAUUAUGGGAGGUGAUUUUCUUUUUCCCUGACCAUCAGUUCAUAAUUUGGACAAAAGAGAAGAAAUUGUUGCAAGUGCUAAACUACUUGCAAGUAGGCCUGUAAAAAUCCAGCUGCAGGAAUUUUUAAGGUGCUUAAGUUCAAAAUUUGGUUAAUUACUAUAAUGAGACCAUAUUUCAUAUUUCAUAAACUAUCCUGCUAAAACAUGAAUGAGCAAAUCACUAAAAUAGUUUAAGGGGCAAGCUCCUCUGCUUAAUUGAAUAUAUAUCUAUUGUUGAAUGUGCUAAUAUUUUGCACGUGCAAUGCAUGUGCUAGAGAUUGGAAACAGAUAGCCUCAUGGCCCUUUUCUCUUAAAAAAGUAAAAAUAAGGAUUUUAGGAGUCUAGGAGAGUGGAGUCCAAGGUUUGCCGUACUGGUUGGUACCAGUUGUAGCGUUCAUGUUAUAUCAUACCGGUACCAAACCGGUAUCGUACAAGGGGUGUACCGAUAUUUGGUACAUCGAAUCGGACCCUGUACUAGGCAUAACAAUACUAUAAUAGGAUGGUACCGGUACAGGGUCUGCGAACCUUGGUGGAGUUGAACUUAGGGGUUGGAGACACGCACCCUAGAGUUUGCGUUAUGAUAAUAGAGAUUAGUAAUUUGCUAAAGUUGUAGUUACAUAAGUACCUUUUCUAUGAUGAGUUGCUUCUAAAUUGGGGAACAAAAUAGCUAAUGCACAGAUAGUUAUCUUCUACAUAAUGCCUUUCAUAAGUGAUGCGGAUUACAAUAGCAUACAUCUGGCAGUUUUUUUUAGCAAAACGGUGGACCACCAACAGCAUACCAUCUGGCAGUAUUCAUUGCAUGCUUUAUAUGGAGUUAGAAACAUCAGGUCUGAUAGUUUGUUAAUCAAAUUCAGGUCUUUAUUUUUGAGUUUCUAUAGUAAAUCUCACUUGUAAACAGGGUAUAUCAGACAACCAUGCAAAGCUGGUGUUCUCUGUUAGUUGUUACAGUGGCACGGUACAUGAUCAUUCUCCACCACAGUGAUUUAGGGUUGAUUAAGAAGCCAUUUCUAGUGUUAUGCAGCAACCUCUUGGGAUUUUAGGUAGAAUCUUAUUCUAGUUCUGCAUUGAAGCUUCGGUACGUGUCGCCUACACCAUUGGCUUCUAUAAGCUUGAUAUCAUCGUUGUUAAAAUCUAGAAUUUGUGACUUGGUGUCUUCCAAUCCAGAUUAAAAUGGUGCUAAAUGUUCUGGAUCCCAUCGCUGGGAUCAAGAUUAGUGUAGGAUCACAAGAUGUAGAUCCACGUAAUGGGACUAUUCAUUCCUUUGGGUCAUAGAUCCAGUUUGAUUAUGUUAAUGCAUAUUAAAUCAUGCGUAGGUCUAUUUUGUAUAAUUUAUGUGGCUAUGUGGCUUUUAAUUAAUUAUCACCAGCAAUUGUCAAGUAGUAAAAUUAGCAAGUUUGAUUAUUGGACCUCAGCUUUAAAAAUGAGUUGCAAAUAUUUGUAUUUUUACCAGCCAUAUGUUAAAAACUUGACAUUUUCUUUAAAAAAUAAUUCUAACCGAAAAGGUUAAUUAAAUUGAUAGAUAGUAUAUAAUUUUUUUUGAAUAACCAAACAAAAUAUUUAUUUCAUUGGACAUACUACAUAUGCGGGGGUCUCUGAUUGACGAGUUGAGUGUAUCGCUUUUUAUUCUCCAUUCAUUUUACUUUACAAUUGACUCAUGCUUCAAUUUUCACCAUUUCUUUUAUAUCUAAAAAGUUUUCUAAAGAAUUCAGAAAGAAUCUUAUGUUCUACUACCUGAUCAUGGUUCAAUCUGAUCUGCCCCCUUCUACAAUUACAAACUCGAUCCUGAUCUUCACAACAGUUAUCCAUAACCAUAAAUGGUUUUAUGUCCAAAUUUUUAUGGGACUUCGAUAAGUUCAUAGUUUUUUAAACCAGCUUAAUGUUAUUGGUACAUGUGAUGAUAUGAUGGAAACUGUGCAGAAAUGUGGCAUGACUUUUUUCUGAGCCAAAUAAUUACACUUGUUGAGAAAUUUGGCGGAAUGAUCCUUCAGAAAAAGAACUGCUAGUCUUCACAAAUAUGCAGUGUAUCAUGUUGCAAUCACUUGGAGGUUGGUGGUGUAGUUACUGGUUCCCUAAUAUUUUUCAAACUCACAUAACAGAAAAUUUCAGACAUAGUAGCCUGGAAUAACUCUGGCGGUGGUCUUUUCAGAGAUCAGAAAUUUGCGUUUCUUUGCAACAUUUGUUUGAAGAAGGGAUUCACAUCACUGCAGGAGGGACUAUUCAUAUCACAGCGCAUUUUACUAUGUUAUUCACUCUUGCGGUUGGAAUUGAAAUUACAUUAAUAAAUAGCUGUUUACUACUGACUGUAUGAUUAUUUUUUCAUUUUUAGUGGAUAAAAAUAUCUUGGGUUCUCAUUGAAUCAAUUGAAGAGUGAAUUCCAGCUGCAGUUUCUAGUG